AACGCGAAGAACCUUACCUGGGCUUGAACUACUCGUGGUAGUCAGCUGGAAACAGCGGGCGACCCGCAAGGGAGCGAGCAGAGGUGCUGCAUGGUUGUCGUCAGCUCGUGUCGUGAGAUGUUGGGUUAAGUCCCGCAACGAGCGCAACCCCUAUCCAAUGUUGCUAAUCCCGCAAGGGAUGCACUCUUUGGAAACUGCCUUCGAUAAGAAGGAGGAAGGUGGGGACGACGUCAAAUCCUCAUGGCCCUUAUGUCCAGGGCAACACACGUGUUACAAUGGCCGGUACAACGGGAAGCAAUACCGCAAGGUGGAGCCAAACCCUGAAAGCCGGCCCCAGUUCAGAUCGUGGGCUGCAACUCGCCCACGUGAAGGCGGAAUCGCUAGUAAUCGCUGAUCAGCAGGCAGCGUGAAUACGUCCCGGCUUGUACACACCGCGAGC
RNAcentral lists this ribosomal RNA (439 nucleotides) under uncultured bacterium. Its description in RNAcentral is "bacterial SSU rRNA". It matches the Rfam family "Bacterial small subunit ribosomal RNA", at positions 958 to 1397 of the family's 1533-position model. The record is from RNAcentral.